Molecule: ribosomal RNA, 537 nt
Filed under: uncultured bacterium
Lineage: Bacteria
Description: partial 16S ribosomal RNA
Rfam family: Bacterial small subunit ribosomal RNA
Source: RNAcentral
UGGGGAAUAUUGCACAAUGGGCGCAAGCCUGAUGCAGCCAUGCCGCGUGUGUGAAGAAGGCCUUCGGGUUGUAAAGCACUUUCAGCGAGGAGGAAGGUGGUGAACUUACUACGUUCAUCAAUUGACGUUACUCGCAGAAGAAGCACCGGCUAACUCCGUGCCAGCAGCCGCGGUAAUACGGAGGGUGCAAGCGUUAAUCGGAAUUACUGGGCGUAAAGCGCACGCAGGCGGUUUGUUAAGUCAGAUGUGAAAUCCCCGGGCUCAACCUGGGAACUGCAUUUGAAACUGGCAAGCUAGAGUCUCGUAGAGGGGGGUAGAAUUCCAGGUGUAGCGGUGAAAUGCGUAGAGAUCUGGAGGAAUACCGGUGGCGAAGGCGGCCCCCUGGACGAAGACUGACGCUCAGGUGCGAAAAGCGUGGGGGCAGCAAACAGGAUUAGAUACCCUGGUAGUCCACGCUGUAAAACGAUGUCGAUUUGGAGGUUGUGCCCUUGAGGCGUGGCUUCCGGAGCUAACGCGUUAAAUCGACCGCCUGGGGAG